RNAcentral lists this transfer RNA (55 nucleotides) under Trichalus sp. UPOL 000376. RNAcentral describes it as "partial tRNA-Ser". The record is from RNAcentral. Lineage: Eukaryota; Metazoa; Arthropoda; Insecta; Coleoptera; Lycidae.
AAAGAAAUAUGUCUAAAAAAGCUUCUAACUUUUUACAAAGCAUUAAUAUGUUUAU